RNAcentral lists this ribosomal RNA (253 nucleotides) under uncultured bacterium. RNAcentral describes it as "partial 16S ribosomal RNA". It matches the Rfam family "Bacterial small subunit ribosomal RNA", at positions 524 to 776 of the family's 1533-position model. The record is from RNAcentral.
UACAGAGGUCUCAAGCGUUGUUUGGAAUCACUGGGCGUAAAGGGUGCGUAGGCGGCAUGGUAAGUCAGAGGUGAAAUCCCGGAGCUCAACUUCGGAAUUGCCUCCGAUACUGCCAUGCUUGAGGACUGGAGAGGAGAUUGGAAUUCACAGUGGAGCAGUGAAAUGCGUAGAUAUUGUGAGGAACACUAGUGGCGAAGGCGAAUCUCUGGACAGUUCCUGACGCUGAGGCACGAAGGCCAGGGGAGCAAACGGG